CCUCGGGGGGCUGCAGUGGGGAAUAUUGGACAAUGGGGGCAACCCUGAUCCAGCCAUGCCGCGUGUGUGAAGAAGGCCCUCGGGUUGUAAAGCACUUUCAGUGAGGAAGAACGCCUGGUGGUUAAUACCCAUCAGGAAAGACAUCACUCACAGAAGAAGCACCGGCUAACUCCGUGCCAGCAGCCGCGGUAAUACGGAGGGUGCGAGCGUUAAUCGGAAUUACUGGGCGUAAAGCGCGCGUAGGUGGCUUGAUAAGCCGGUUGUGAAAGCCCCGGGCUCAACCUGGGAACGGCAUCCGGAACUGUCAAGCUAGAGUGCAGGAGAGGAAGGUAGAAUUCCCGGUGUAGCGGUGAAAUGCGUAGAGAUCGGGAGGAAUACCAGUGGCGAAGGUGGCCUUCUGGACUGACACUGACACUGAGGUGCGAAAGCGUGGGUAGCAAACAGGAUUAGAUACCCUUGUAGUC
Molecule: ribosomal RNA, 464 nt
Filed under: Vreelandella stevensii
Lineage: Bacteria; Pseudomonadati; Pseudomonadota; Gammaproteobacteria; Oceanospirillales; Halomonadaceae
Description: partial 16S ribosomal RNA
Rfam family: Bacterial small subunit ribosomal RNA
Source: RNAcentral